GGAGUGAGGAGUACCGGUUGUUGUUCCGUCUCCCGCCUGACGAGGUUCUUGUUCAGGAUUUCAAUUGCGCUCUCCAGGAGAAUAUUCUUCUCCAAGGCCAUAUGUAUUUGUUUCUUCAUCAUAUUUGCUUCUAUUCAAACAUCUUUGGUUUUGAGACAAAG
Dioscorea cayenensis subsp. rotundata (Guinea yam) is the source of this 161-nucleotide long non-coding RNA. RefSeq lists it as uncharacterized. Lineage: Eukaryota; Viridiplantae; Streptophyta; Magnoliopsida; Dioscoreales; Dioscoreaceae. The transcript is spliced from 3 exons. The record is from RefSeq and is a predicted model, not a curated record.